AACGCACAUUGCGCCUUCUGUAAUAAGGAGGCAUGCCUGUCUGAGCGUCAUUUAAACCAAUGGACUAAACUCCGUGUUGGAUGUUCGCCUUUGGCGUCAUCUCAAAAACAUUGGCUUUAUGAGCGGAUGAAAUCCAUUAGGACUGACCGCUUUAAAGAGCCCACCAUUUCUCUGAUUUGACCUCAGAUCAGGUAGGAUUACCGCCUGAACUUAA
Molecule: unclassified non-coding RNA, 214 nt
Filed under: uncultured fungus
Lineage: Eukaryota; Fungi
Description: sequence contains ITS2
Source: RNAcentral